Long non-coding RNA from Dinoponera quadriceps, 988 nucleotides. RefSeq lists it as uncharacterized. Lineage: Eukaryota; Metazoa; Arthropoda; Insecta; Hymenoptera; Formicidae. The transcript has 3 exons. The record is from RefSeq and is a predicted model, not a curated record.
CGAUUCCUUCGUUGAAGGCGAGCAGGUCGUCUCCUGCCGUUCUCUAACGCGCGCGCGCGAACAAUUAAAUCCUAAGAUUAGCUCGAGAGACGCGAAACCAGUCCGCGAACUGUUGGCAACCGGCCGCGCUCGCACAGGCGUAGUAUUUUCGUUCCGUUUAGUAGACAGUUGGGAAUAGAAGAGAGCGUGUGUAAAGAGAAUGUGGCAGCAAAACAGCCUGAGCUAUUAAGGCUCGGUUACCGGUAGAAAAAGAUCAAUAAAUACUUGCCAAGGAGUAUUGCAGUAACUCUUUUACUUGAAUCAAGUCCGAUGUUACGGUAGCACUUUUUUUCCUCAGUGCACCAACUAAAGUUGCAGAAGAAACUGAGAGAGAGAGAGAGAAAGCUUAAAAGUCAAGGGUGAAAAUGAGGCCAACAACCCACGAGAGUAUGCACGGUGCGCGCGGGGAUAUCGAUCGACCCCCGGGCUAUUCUGGAUGACACCCACACACAUGGAAUCAGGUCGGCUGGAACGUCUCGGCGCGAAUAGGAGGGGAGGAAAGGUUGUGCACAAAAUAGCGGAUGAAAACAAAUAAACAUGCAAGAUGUAAAAUCGAUGAAAAUAAUUGCAUCGCAGGUACAAUUAUGAGAUGCAUUCCGCACGCGUGGGACAAGAGAGGAUGUCGUUAACAGGAUUGAGAAAUUAAAAUUCCGCCGGUGGCCGCGGUAACGGGUUCCUCCGACGUUUCUUGUCGACGCGCGCGACCCCAUUGCACUCCUUGUCGAUAACUGCGUCGUUUGUUUUGAAAGCGGUACACCUACUUUAAAGUUAAGUUUCUCUCUCUUUCAUAUGUGCUCGCGAGCCUCCUCAAGUUUCCUUCAUUCGAGUGUUUAAAACAAUACAAACUGAUUGUUUAUUCUGGGAAUUUGUUCAACACCGCCGGAAUUAUGCGAGCGACUCCUCAAGUACAUGGAAGACAGUUCCUACAAUAAAGACUAGAUGAAAACUC